This 452-nucleotide ribosomal RNA is filed under the name Zeuxevania splendidula. Its description in RNAcentral is "partial 16S ribosomal RNA". The record is from RNAcentral. Lineage: Eukaryota; Metazoa; Arthropoda; Insecta; Hymenoptera; Evaniidae.
AUCAAAAACAUGUCCUUUUGAUAAUGAUUUAAGGUCUGGUCUGCUCAAUGAUAUUAUUAAAUAGCUGCAGAAUUUUAACUGUACUAAGGUAGCAUAAUAAAUUGUUUAUUAAUUGUAAACUGGAAUAAAUGAUUUAAUAAAAUAUUAACUGUUUCUAAGAAAUUGAAUAUAAUUUAAUUUUUAAGUUAAAAAGCUUAAAUGUAUUUAGGGGACGAGAAGACCCUAUAGAUUUUUAUAUAAAUAAUUGACUGAGGAGUUUAUUUAUUAUUUUUGUUAGUUAUUUAUAAUUAGAUGGGGUGUUUUAAAAAUAAAUAAAUUUUUUAAAUUAUUUACAAAAUUUAUUGAGUAUAGUGAAUAAUAAUUAAUUUUAUAAGAUAAAAAUACCUUAGGGAUAACAGCAUAAUAGCUUUUUUAAGAUCAUAUUUUAAAAGUUGAUUGUGACCUCGAUGUUG